Non-coding RNA from Acidobacteria bacterium 13_1_40CM_2_56_5, 46 nucleotides. The record is from Rfam. Lineage: Bacteria; Pseudomonadati; Acidobacteriota.
CCACGGGCUUGCGCCCGUGGCUACACUCUUUCGCCGCUCCGCGGCU